This is a long non-coding RNA of Psammomys obesus (fat sand rat), 797 nucleotides long. RefSeq lists it as uncharacterized. The transcript is spliced from 2 exons. Lineage: Eukaryota; Metazoa; Chordata; Mammalia; Rodentia; Muridae. The record is from RefSeq and is a predicted model, not a curated record.
UGUCCUGGCAGGGCAGGACUGCGAUCUUAAACAGUAGGGUCUUCUAACAGACCUCCAACUCAAGACAUGGCCAAGAAUGGCUUCGAACUCUAAAUCCUCACGUGCUGCGAUUACACGGCCAGGUCAUUUUGGAAGGAAUUUUCAGCAAACUGAGAAACUGUUAUUAGAGAUCCCAAAACACUUCAGUGCUACCACCUCUGCCAGACCAGAGGAUGGCGCGCCUGAGCUGCCUUUAAAAAACAACAAACAAACAAGAAACAACAACAAAAAGCAGGCCAGGGUCCCUGGGUGGCUGUCAUAAACAUCAGGCACGGUGGAGCUUUUGAGCAACAGAGCCUUCUUGUUCGAACUGUAUCGGCCUUAGGGCGCCAUCUGGUGGUUAGGUUUUUAUUGUUCCUGUGGCGAGUUGGCCGGAAGUGACUUAGCCUGAGUACCCAGGGCCAGGUGUUCCAGGAGGCCGGAGAACCUCUCCUUCAGGCUGAAGUCCAUACCAAGCCCUACCGCCUCUGGUCUACUGGGGCUUGGUGGCGGAGACCAUAGAGAUGAGCAUCUGUUGCAGUUUUGCCAAGGUGGAGCCCGGCUGCUAAGAGAGAAAGACCUGCUGCCACUCAUCUCCUGGACAUGCUACUGCUGUUUCCCUUGUUUCCAGAGGCACGACGGCUUUAGCCUCAGUCUAGGUAUCAAGUUCUGAGGCCAGCUUCUGUGACGUAGAGUUAAUGGUGGGUUGGGGCUCACUCCCUGUGCCCCCAGGAUAUGUCCACCUGCCUGCCAGAUAAUAAAUUCCUCUUGAAUUUCCA